UACGUAGGGUGCGAGCGUUGUCCGGAAUUACUGGGCGUAAAGCGUGCGCAGGCGGUUAUGCAAGACAGAUGUGAAAUCCCCGGGCUCAACCUGGGAACUGCAUUUGUGACUGCAUAGCUAGAGUGCGGCAGAGGGAGAUGGAAUUCCGCGUGUAGCAGUGAAAUGCGUAGAUAUGCGGAGGAACACCGAUGGCGAAGGCAAUCUCCUGGGCCUGCACUGACGCUCAUGCACGAAAGCGUGGGGAGCAAACAGG
RNAcentral lists this ribosomal RNA (253 nucleotides) under uncultured bacterium. RNAcentral's name for it is "partial 16S ribosomal RNA". It matches the Rfam family "Bacterial small subunit ribosomal RNA", at positions 524 to 776 of the family's 1533-position model. The record is from RNAcentral.